This 497-nucleotide ribosomal RNA is filed under the name uncultured bacterium. RNAcentral's name for it is "partial 16S ribosomal RNA". It matches the Rfam family "Bacterial small subunit ribosomal RNA", at positions 28 to 507 of the family's 1533-position model. The record is from RNAcentral.
GAUGAACGCUGGCGGCGUGCCUAAUACAUGCAAGUCGAGCGAACGGACGAGAAGCUUGCUUCUCUGAUGUUAGCGGCGGACGGGUGAGUAACACGUGGAUAACCUACCUAUAAGACUGGGAUAACUUCGGGAAACCGUAGCUAAUACCGGAUAAUAUUUUGAACCGCAUGGUUCAAAAGUGAAAGACGGUCUUGCUGUCACUUAUAGAUGGAUCCGCGCUGCAUUAGCUAGUUGGUAAGGUAACGGCUUACCAAGGCAACGAUGCAUAGCCGACCUGAGAGGGGGGUUCGCCACCCCUGAACUGAGGCCCCGUCCAGACUCCUACGGGAGGCAGCCGUUGGGAAUUUUCCGCCAUGGGGCAAAGCCUUACGGAGGCACCGCGCGGUAGGUGUGAAGGGCUUCCGAUCCUAAAACCUCUUUAUUAGGGAAGAACAAAUUGGGAAGUUACCUUGCACCUCUUUACCGUACCUAAUCAGAAAGCCACGGCUAACUACGUG